GUGGGGAAUAUUGCACAAUGGGCGCAAGCCUGAUGCAGCCAUGCCGCGUGUAUGAAGAAGGCCUUCGGGUUGUAAAGUACUUUCAGCGGGGAGGAAGGUGUUGUGGUUAAUAACCGCAGCAAUUGACGUUACCCGCAGAAGAAGCACCGGCUAACUCCGUGCCAGCAGCCGCGGUAAUACGGAGGGUGCAAGCGUUAAUCGGAAUUACUGGGCGUAAAGCGCACGCAGGCGGUCUGUCAAGUCGGAUGUGAAAUCCCCGGGCUCAACCUGGGAACUGCAUUCGAAACUGGCAGGCUAGAGUCUUGUAGAGGGGGGUAGAAUUCCAGGUGUAGCGGUGAAAUGCGUAGAGAUCUGGAGGAAUACCGGUGGCGAAGGCGGCCCCCUGGACAAAGACUGACGCUCAGGUGCGAAAGCGUGGGGAGCAAACAGGAUUAGAUACCCGAGUAGUCC
Molecule: ribosomal RNA, 450 nt
Filed under: uncultured bacterium
Lineage: Bacteria
Description: partial 16S ribosomal RNA
Rfam family: Bacterial small subunit ribosomal RNA
Source: RNAcentral